RNAcentral lists this long non-coding RNA (27823 nucleotides) under Capsicum annuum. RNAcentral's name for it is "long non-coding RNA (CANN_LNC011223)". The record is from RNAcentral. Lineage: Eukaryota; Viridiplantae; Streptophyta; Magnoliopsida; Solanales; Solanaceae.
CCAAAUGUUCGAUAGCUAAGCAAGAGGAGUAGAACGGCCGGUUCUUGCAUCGCAUGGGGAUAUAGCCGCCUGAAGAUGGGUUAGCAGAUGAAUAAUAGCAUAAACUCAGGAUAAGGAUAAAUUAAUAUCAACCAGUAAAAACCAAGUAAAACAACCAUAUGCAUAUAAACCAUACAUAGAUAUAACCAUGUUAAGAAAGGGAACCAGGUUUAGCAUGCAUUUAAACUAUGAGUAGUACACAUCCUGUACGAGUGGUACCCACCUCUCGUACCUAGGCUUUCCCUCUUAGACCAUCAUGGCCCAAGGUACGACAAGCCUAAACCCAAGUUGUAUCCAAGUGUAAGACUAGUACCCAUAAAUCGUACCCCUAGAAGAAUAGAAUCCAAGGAGGUUUGAACAUCAUCCCCUUAUACAACUCCUAGGUAUGACUCGUACCCUAGCUUACGGCUCAUGGUGAGCCACCCGUACUCAGAUCCAACCUAACUUACCAAGUUCAAGGUUAAGUAAAGAAACCAAACAACCUGUAUCCACUAAUACGACUCAAACCACCCAAGUCAUACUUAUUCCAGUAACUAAAUAUAUCCUACCAACCAACACUGGUCAGCAUAUGGCUGGACCAUACCACCCGUACCUAAGUGUACGACUUAUUCUCUACGUCGUAUCUUGCCCAAAAACCAGAAAUCAAGGAAAUUUUCUAUGGUCUAGAAACUAGGGUGUUUUAUUCAGUUUGACAAAAACUAUUCUCAAAUCCAAAAUCACUAAGCAGGAGGAGUAGUAUGGCCGGUUCCAGCAUCGCAUGGAGAUACAGUACUCAAAGAUGGAUUAGCGGGUGAAUGCUGGUAUGUACUCGAGAAUAAGGAUAAAAUAAUGCCAUUAUUCAAAACCAAAGUAAAUAACCAUAUGAAAUCUCAUGCAUAUAUAUAUACCAUGCUGGGAAAGGAAAUCGAGUUUAAUAUACAUUUAAAACCUUUGACUGGUUAUGUAGCUUUACCGUCCUAAAACCAUCCACGAGCAAUAUGGGUUCAGCUCCCCUACUGAAAAGGCCCUAGUGAGUGUUAGUCAUACGAACCAAAGAAUAAAACCUGAGAUGACUAGUACUUCUCCAAAAAUAUAAGUGUGACAUGAUGCACACAAUCCUAAGACCAACCUCACAUAGACAAAUAUGAGUUUCCAAUUUUGGUCCCCCCAUGACUGCCACCUUUCAUUGCUUUGCUAACAUAUCCCCUUUAAGCCCAUAUUAAAACCAUUCACAGACAACUAACCAAUUAUUAAGGAGUCCUUUUAAUUAAGCAUUAACCAUUGGUAUCAUCUUACCAAAACUAGAGCUUACAGAAUUAUCCAUUUAUACCUUACCAAAUCCAUUAAACUAAUUUGACUCACAAGCUUCUAAUCAAACCAAAACCAUGUCCAUUAUAACACCCUGGGUUUUGACCCUUAAAAUAUUUACUAGAACUCUGGUCUUUGGAUCUAAUAUGACUCAUGGGUACGAGUCGUAUGAUGGGGUAUGAAUGGUAUGGUCCUAUCAUAUGCUAUCUUAUGUUGGUUGGUGAGAUGGGUUUUAGUUACUGGAAUAGAUACGACUUAGGGGUAUGAGACGUAUUGAUGGGUAUGGAUUAUUUGGUUUCUUAACUUAAUCGUAGACUUGGUUACUUAGGUUGGAUCUAAGUACGAAUGGCUUACCAUGAGCCGUAAGCCAGGGUAUAAGUCGUACUAUUGACUUGUAUGGUCGACAAUGUCUAAAUCUUUCUUGGGUUUAAUAUGUUAGGGGUACAAAAAGUUACUAACAGACCAAUUUCUGUCACUCAUCAUAGAAAUAGUGACAGAAAUAGAUAACUCCUCAUCUAUAUUGUAACUCAUCUUCACAAGUAAAAAUGAUGAUUUUGUUGGGAACUAGUUGAUUAAGAAGUAGGCAUACUUCUCAAUGUUAACUAAUUUAGCAUAGGCAGGCUAUACCAAUAUAGUAGCAAGUGCUUAUCCUUAUCGAAAAUGAUAUGAAGUGACAAAGGACUGGAAGUCCUAAAUAUUCAACUAGACUUUUAUUUUGUUGUUUAAGUUAUGUUGUUCCAGUCUGGGUAGCUACCUCUAGAAAUAUGUGUUUGCAGAAUAGAGAUCGAUCUGUUGCUCUCGUUAUCUAGUUACAUAUUGCAUCUAUAUAAGCCACAUAUUUGAUUUGGUGGGUAACUAAGGGGUACCUUUACAUUUGUUGUGUGCCUUAUUUUUCAAUUUUUGUUUUGCCCUUUGAUUAAUUGCUUGAUCUGAUGGGUGACUGGGGGGUACCUUUACAUCUGUUGAUGGAUUUCUCUUAAAAAGAUUGGAUAUUUUUGUUGGUUUUAGAGAUAUAGUAGUGUAAGUGACAUAUUUUCAAAUAUUUAUUUGAUACACUUUUCUUUCAAGUGCCUUUUUACUGGAAGUUCAAGUAGUGCAAUUGUAGAUUUGUGGAAAAAUAAGUGGAGUAUUGUAUACAAUAAGGUGUGUUUUUGAACUUUCUUUUUGAUUUUUCAUUUUUCUUGCUAUACUUGUUGGAUUAUGUUUGUAACUUAUUUUUGUUAUUAAGCAUAUAACGAUAAAUUUGUUGGUAAAAUAGAAGUAUGUAUCACUUUUAUCUUAUUUUUAUGGUAAACUAAUUUUGUUUACUACUUUGAGCGCAUCACUUUGAAUAAUUUAGUGAAACUUUUAAACUGUCAAUUGAUCUACUUAAUUAUGUUUUCUUUGCUAACUAGUUCUUCAUAUAGAGUCUAAUCAUAGAUUAUCAAAUUUAUUAAUAUGAAUUUCCAACAAGGUUAAUUAUUAAGACUAAUUGUCGCGUUUCUUAUUAAGUUGGUUAAUUAGCACUGAUUAUCCUAUUUUUUUAUUUCAACCUUAAUAGAAACAUGAAUAAUCUAGAGCGUGGUAGGAUGUAUGAGAGUUUAGAUGGCCAAGGGACUUUAUGCUCUAGUUUUAUAAUCGGGGUGGAUAAAUUUAUUCAAUUCGCAUGUUCUCAACAAAAUUUCAUGAGUUGAGACAAAGUUAGAUGUACAUGUGCAAAAUGUCAUAACUAUAAAUUCGUGGAUGUCGAAACUGUUAAAUGUCACCUUUAUCAAUCUGGAUUUGUUGAGAACUAUUUUAUUUUAAAGCAUCAAGGGAAAAUAAAUGGUAUAAAUUGGACUUCUUAUGGUAAUGACUUGCAUGGUAGUGGUCAACCUGUAUUCGAAGAGAAUUCAUACUGACAAAUGAUUUUGGAUGCAGAUGGUCCCAAAUUUUAUCGGGGUUCAAGUUGGCAAUCUUAUAGCAAUAUUGAACCUGAGUCAUCUUAUCCUUUUGAAAAUUCAAUGGAGGAAGAUCCUAGUCCCGUGUCUAAAAAAUUUUAUGAUUUACUAGAUGUUGCUAAUACAGAAUUAUAUCCCGGUUCAUCCCUCUCUCAACUUCCAGUUGUCUCUUAAAUAUUAAAUAUUAAAAUAGAGAAUAAUCUAUCGAUGAGAGUCUAUAACCAGAUAAUGCAAUUGCUUGAUACAAUUGCUUAAAGUGGCUUUACCUAAAGAUAACAUAGUACUUGAUAGCUAUUAUCAGACGAAGAAGCUGGUGUGUAGCUUGGGUUUGCCAGUUGAAAAGAUUGAUUAUUGUGAAUCAAGAUAUAUGUUUUAUUGGGGUGAUGUGAUUAACACUUUACAUCUUGUAAAUUUUGUAGCAAACCAAGGUAUAAGCAUUAUGUUGGCUCUCGAAAGAGUAAGUUGUUCCCUCACAAGAUAAUGUAUUGUUUUCCUUUGAUUCCAAGAUUGCAAAGAUUAUAUGCAUCCCACGCUACAGUUGCCGACAUAAGAUGGCAUGGUGACCCUAAAAAAAAGGAUGGUGUGAUGCUUCAUCCAUCAUAUUCUGGGGCUUGGAAGCACUUUAAUGAAACUCAUCCUUUUUUUGUCGCCAAACCAAGAAAUGUCAGGUUGGGGUUAUGUACGAAUGGUUUUCAACCAUUUAGUUAGUCUGGAAGAAAAUAUUCUUCGUGGCCAGUGAUUGUCACUCCAUACAAUUUACCUCUAUGAAUGUUCAUGAAAGAGGCUUAUAUGUUUUUAACAAUCAUUGUUCCAAGUUCGAGCAAUCCCAAACAUAAAAUUGAUGUUUUUCUGCAACCCCUAAUAAAGGAAUUGACCUUGUUGUGGGAGACAGGUGUAGAAGCAUUUGAAAUCUCAAAAAGGCAAUACUUUCUAUAAUGGCAGCUUUGAUGUGGACAAUUAGUGACUUUCCAGCAUAUUCUAUGUUAUUGGGAUGGAGUACUGUGGGUAAAUUAGCAUGUCCUUAUUGUAUAGAGGAAACACAAUCCUUUAGAUUACAAUAUGGAAGAAAAAAAUCCUGGUUUGAUUUCCACAGAAUACUCCUUAACCAGCAUCACCCAUUUAGGAAAGAUCGAAAGAACUUUUUUAAAGGCCAAACUGUCAAAAGAUCCCCACCAACAUAUAGAAUAAUUUGGGAAAAGAAAUGUAAUUUGUAAUUUGGGGAUAAAAAAUGUAACAGCAUAUUCUAACUCUUUUACAUGUCCAACCACCAAUACAUUUCUUACCUAAACAAAAUUACAUGUAAUUUGCACCUUUCCUCUAUAAGGUAAUACCAAAAUUGGUUGCACUAGGCCCUUUCUCUGACCAUCAACAAAUGCUAUUUUGGACCAAAUUAGGGAUAAUAAAUAUAAUAGAGUUAGAUGCAGAACAAGUUAAUAAAAUAAUAUAUAAGACAUAUGGUUGGAAAAAAUGAAGCAUCUUUUGGGAUUUGCCAUACUGGAGUUCUAACAUGAUAUAACAUAAUCUUGAUGUGAUGCAUUUUGAGAAAACUUUUUUGAUAAUGUAUUUAACACUGUUCUUAAUUUUGAUGACAAAACCAAAGACAAUUCAUUAUCACGUCUAGAUACGGCAAAGUAUUAUGAUCGACCUCAAUUAGGAAAGGAUAGUAAUGGACAAUAUCCAAAAGCUAUUUAUACAUUAUACAAGGAAGCAAGAGCUAUCUUGUUUAAUUGGGUGAAAGGUUUAAAAUUUCCAGAUAGGUAUGUUUCAAAUUUGGGUAGGUUUCUAGACACAAAAGUGAAAAGGUUAUUUGGUAUAAAGAGUAAUGAUUGUCAUGUGUUCAUGCAAUGACUAAUGCCUAUUACUUUACAUAAACUACUUCCUAGUAAUGUGUGGCAGGCACUUAUAGAAUUGAUCUUACUUUGACCACUCUACGAGUGGAUAAUAUGGUGCGAUUAGAGAGAGAUAUUCCAUAAAUUUUGUGAAAGUUAGAAUGUAUAUUUCCUCCUGGGUUCUUUGACUCAAUGGAACAUCUUCCUGUGCACCUACCAUAUGAAGCAAGGAUUGCUCGACCUAUGCAAUAUCGAUGGAUGUAUCCUUUUGUAAGGUAAAUGUGAAACUCUAUGUCAAACUUGUGAUGUUUAAUUAAUACAUAACCCUCCAAACAUAAUGUUCCAUCUUUUUUUGUAUAUAGGUAUUUGGAAACUCUUAAAAAGAUGAUUGGGAAUAAAGCUAGUGUUGAGGGUUCCAUUUGUGAAGCGUACUUGAUAAUGGAGUCAACACAAUUAUUUUCUCAUUAUUUCGAACCUCAUGGCAUAUCACGAAAUCAUAAUAUAGAUCGUAAUAAUGAUGGUGGUGUUGUGGAAGAUCUUAAAGGAAAUCUUUCAAUAUUCUCCCAUCUAGGUCGACUUUGGGGAGAAGUUAAAAAAAAAAGAUUUAACCUUCGAUGAAAUCAAGGCGGCCCAAACUUAUAUUUUACUAAAUUGUGAGGAGGUUGAACCAUUUGUGAGGUAACCAAAUUCUCUUAAUAAUAAUAAAAAAUAUUCUUAUACCAUGACUUCUCUUAUUUAAAUUAUUUUGUUGUAAUGAAGUAUGUACCUGCAAUGUUUGGAAGAAGAAUUUCUGAAUCUCUCUCAAAGUGAAAUAGACGAGAGCCUUGAAGAAAAUUUUGCUAUAUGGUUCAAGGAAUAUAUAAGAUUUAAAUAAAUAUUAACUUUCAUAUGAUGCAUGUACAUAAAUUGGCUUCUCAAAUUUAACUAAAUCUUUGAUUUUUUUAAAUAGGCUCGGUGCAAUCCCAUUAAAAAUAAAUACUUGUGUAGUCUUGUUCAUGGACCAUUAAUAGGAGCUACAUGCCAUUCAAUAUAUUUUGUUAAUAGAUAUAAAUUUCACACAAAAUAUCAUGGUAGUGUGAGAUCAACAAUGAAUAGUGGAGUUUGUAUCUCGGAUCCAAAUUUUAGGGAUUAUUAUGGGCGGAUAAAAGAGAUUAUACAAGUGAAAUACCGUGAAGUACCUUUAAAGCAAACUGUGUUAUUCAAAUACGAAUGGUUUGACCCAACAAUAAAUAUUGGUGUUAAGAAGCAUGAUCGGUACAAAUUGAUUGAUAUUAACCAUCGUCGUCGGUAUGAAAAGUAUGAGCCUUUUAUUCUUGCAAUACAAGCAACUCAAGUAUGUUAUAUACCUUAUCCAAGCAAGAAAAGGGACAAGGAUGAUUGGCUAGCUGUAUUGAAGUUCAAACCUUGAAAUGUUAUUAAAUUAUCAGUUGAGGAAGUGGUGAAAACUUUAGAACUAAAUGUUCCUUUUCAAGUUUAAGAAGUUGAAGUCCAUGAGAUAGAUAUGUCUAUUUCUAUUGAUGGAGAUAUUCUAUUGCAUGAUCCAAAUGGGGGUGUACUUGAAAUGAAUAAACCUCUUAAUGAUGGUUUAUUUGAAGAGCAUCAUGAAAUCCAAGAUGGAUCUACAUAAGAAGAAUAUGAAACUGAGGAAACUGAGGAGGAGGAUGAAGAGAAAGAGUUUGAAGAAGACAUAGAUAGUGACUAGAGCUUGUUAAAAAUCUGCUAUUUUAGGUUUGUUGUGUUUUGUUUUUACUAUUUUUUUCUCCAAAAUAUUAUUAUUUUCUUAGUUUUUGAUUUCCUUUUAAUAAUUUAUUAGUUUUUCAUAUCACAUCAUUUUAAUUUGGUUUUUAAUAGUAAUGAUCUAACGACACCAUUAUUUUGUUUUAGAUAUGACUCAAGGUGGAUAUCAUUUAGGCAAGUCCUCAGGUAGGAGUAAGACUGCUAAUCAUGAAAAUAUUCCUUCUAUUCCAACUCCAGUGAUUGAACAGGAUGAUACAAGUUUCAUCCCUAGCAGUAUGCCAAUCGAUCAAACACUACUACUUAAUAGUACGCCGUCGGAUCAAAUAUUGCGACAAAGAAGUACCCUAGUCAUUCCUGAGACAUCUUCUAUUUCACCUAACCAAAGCAGCCCAACAGGCCAGAAUAUGAAUGCUCAAAGCAACACAGCAGUUGAAGCAACAUCUAGUCAGAGAAAUGUAUCUGUUUUAGGUGAUUCCAGUUGUACCAAUGGUCAGGCCCUUAUUUUUUUAACUUCUUUAGGGUUAGUACUUACUACUUAUUUUUUAUAUAUAUUAGGGAAUGAUAUCGUAAAUGUUUUUGCUGUCUAUUGGUCAUUAUUAGUUGAUAAUCAAUGCCAUGGUCAAAGAUUCUACUCCUAAUUUUUAAGCUAUACUCAUGCAUAUUUUUGUUAAGCAUAUAGAUAUUGAGACUGGUGUGGUUGAUCUACAUUUUAUAGCUAAAGUAAUUCCUUAGUGGAAGUACAAAAAGAAAAAUGUUAAGAGAUGUAUACAUAACAUGUCAAAGUCAUUCAAUUUUGAUUUACAUGUGUUAGUUAAGAUAAACUUCCUAAAUAGCUUUUGGGUUUGCUAUUUUUGUACACAAAUAUUGUGUAGUGUUAUUGGUAUUAGAUUUGAUGUUGUACAGGUUGGAACCUUCUUCCAAAUGCUCCAGUUCCACUACAUUGUCUUUCAAAAGUAAAGUUGAUCCCAAAGGGAUCAACUGAAAAGGUGUCUCAAAAGAUGUCAAAGAUGGUUAUUUUGGAGAAUUCAAGGUAUGUUUUUUAAAAUCAUAAUCGAUAGCAAUUGUUUGAGUUUGCAGCUAACACUUAAUUAUAUUACUUUAAACUGUAUUUCAGAAGAAUUUCUAUUGGGAUACUUUUGUUAGUGAAGUUGUGGUGAAGCAACAAUGGUCGAAGAAGGUUGCAUUAUGCUAUAAGAAUUUAAUUUCUAAUAUAAAAAACGUAGAGCUAUAGUUCAACCAGAAUUUGUAAAUGGCCAUGUGCAGGAAAAGUGGAUGGAACUUUGGAAAAGUUAUGACUGUGUUAAGAAGUCCGAGAUAAAUUCAAAGAACCAUUAUGGUGGAUGUGAAGUAGCUGUUGGGACACACAUAUGUGUCUCUAUCACAGCUGGAGAGUACCGGAAGAAACUUGUAAGUAUAAAUUUCAUGAAUGGUUUUUCAACAUUGAUGAGUAUUGGUGAUUAUUGAUGAGUAUUAAUGAUUGUAAUAAUAUAAUGAGUAUUGGGGAUUGUGUGUUUUAUGUUGUUAGUCUGUGAUGGAGAUUAUUUGGUUUGUUGGUGGCAAUUGAUAGUGUUGGUAGAGAUGAUUAAUUUUUUUUAUAUUAGCGUGUGGUUAUAGCUAGUUGUUGAGGUUGCCAGUGAUGGUUAUCAUAACUAGCUAGAGGUAAAGAACUUAGUUUACAUGAUAGAUUUUGGUUGUUGCUAUGCUAGUUUUUUCUUAUUCUUUUGGUGCUAUAUGUGAUGCUUUGGUCUGCUACUAUGUACCUGGAAAUUGUUGAUUAGUUUCCAGUCAUUUCUUCUCCAUUUUAGUAGCGAUGGUUGUGUCUAAAGUGCAUAGCAAGUAGUUAUCUGUGGUGCUAUUUUGUUUGGGCUGCUGCUAUGCUUGUUUUUCCUCUAUUUGUUGCUAUUGUAUAUGUCAAGAAGCUACUUCUAUAUUUCCUGCAAGAAGUUGGGGCAAGUUUCUCUUUCUUUUUUCUCUUUGUUUUGCUGCUAUAUUUCCUGCAAGUUUCUCUUUCUUUUUUCUCUUUGUUUUGCUGCUAUGCCAAGAAGUUUGGUGACAUUUUCUUGCUUAGAAUAGGGAAAAUAAACUUGGUGGUUGUGUCAUGAAUGGGGCAAAGAAACUUGGUAUGUAUAUGGUGAGCAUUGGAGGAAAAUGAGAAGAAUUAUGACUAUAUUUUUUUGGUUUGCUGCUAUGUACGUUGGUCUAAUUUCUAAAUACCUGAAAAUUCUAUAUAGGCUCUUAAAAUAGGUCGAUAUCCAACUCUAAGUGAGUUAUAUUUGCACGUCCAUACACAUAAUCAUGAUGAAAAAUAUUUAGUUGGUGAGCGUUCCCGACUUCUACAUGGAAGUCCAUAAUUUAUAUCUAAUGAUAUGAUACUCUUCUCUUAUUUUUUUGUAUUGACAUGAACUUGAGUCUAUUUUAAUAACUCCACUUGUUACAGGAAAAGUAUGAAGAAAUUGUAUGGAAAAAAUUACAGCACAAAUCUAAAAUUGAUCAAUUGGAAACAUAUUAUGAAGUUGCGGGAGGAGCAAAGAAGAAAAGAUUAUUUAGUCUUGGGUCUGAAGCUAACAGUUACUUUGGGAAAAAACUUUGUGCCUGUAAAGCGUCCACAUCAUUAGUAUCACCUUCGGUUUCUUUACCAACAAAAAAUUUGGAGUUUGUGAAGCAAUUGAUUUCGACACUUACUACUCAUUUUCUUUCAGUAGUUAUUGAGCAUGUUGGUGGUAUUAGGGUGCAAGAAGGGGCCGUGCUUGAUCCUCCUCCUACUAAUAAUGAUGAUGACGACGUUGAUUCCUAGAUUCAAGGUAUUCGUAUUCCUUGAUCAUUGCAUUAAUUUUUAAUAGACUAUUUUGUGUGGAAGUACAAAACAUUUUUGUAUUAACAAAUACUAAUUUUGAUGGAUGUUGGUUUAACAUUAGUUUAUGUGUGACAAUAUACUUGAAAUUGUGGGUGUUUGGACACAAUUAUUGUGCAUUUUGCUAUCUAUAUGAAUGUUGGUUAUUUUAAUCAUUCUAUAAUUUACGUGUUUUAAUUAUUUUCUUACAAAAUUAUUAGCGACAAAAAUUAGUGAUUAACAUUUGUCAUUGCUACUGAAAAACUUUAGGAACGAAUAAAUUAAGUUGCUAAAGACAACUGUAUUAGAGACACAAAAUUAGUGACUAACUUUUGUCAUUGCUACUGAAAAACUUUAGCGAUGGAUAAAUUUGGUCGCUAAAGAUGGCUACUCAGUCGACCAAACUAUAUUGCAAUAGAUCAGCGACAAAAUAUUCAGUCACAAAUUUAGCCACGACGAAAAUAAAUUUUGGGAAUAGCAACGCUAUAGCAAUGGAAUAAUCUGUCAGUAACAGCAACAACCGAAAUACUUCAUCACUAAGGGGUCACAAAUUUUGUGAUGGAAAUCAAUUUUUCAUCGCUAUGAAGCUAGCAACAAGCAAUAUAGUGAUAGAAGACAAUCUGUUGCUAUUCCAUCACUAUUUCUCUUUAGUGAUGGAUUUUCAUAUGGUAAUGACGAAAUGUGUGUGUCGCUAAAUGCUAUUUUUUUGGUAGUGUUUUAUGAAAUAAGAAAUUCAUAUUAGCAUCUAGGAUAGGGAUGUACAUAGAUACCUUAUUUGAUUCAAAUGUAAGAUGAUAGCUUUAAAGAACUUAAUUGGAUUAUUACAUCCCCGCUCAAUGAUGUAGUUUUAAUGUCCAAAUUAGGUAAACGGUUAGAGGUUGGGAGACCAUGAUCAUUGUAUUUAACUCUACAAAUCUACAACCAAGAUAAGCAAUUUAACAAAUGAAGUUCAAUAACGUGGUAUGAUUGUUCGAAGUUCUUUAACCCUGGGAUUUACCCCAUUGAUUGUUUCAAGACCUUUAUUUUACGCAUUGUUUUCUUUACUUUAUUUUAAGUGUGGGAUAGGGAAAUUCCCAAAUUUUGGGCUCAAUUUAAAAAAAAAUGUAAGAUAUUCGUGUUGGUGCAAUUUUUUAUUAUAUGGUGUAAGUGUUUUAGUUGUAAAGGCAUGUUGAUUGUGCGAAUUACUACUUUUGAGACUCCUGGGCUUAAUUUUGUGACUCGUGUACUUGUGGCUUAAAUUUGAAUUCAUGUUAUUAUUUGGUUGAGUCUAUGAUAGUCUUAUGUGAGUUGAGUAUGUGCCGUGUGUGUGAGGUGUUUUAUAUUCCUUGUUGCAUGUGAUGUCUAAAACUUGUUCGGUGUGUGUAAAAAGAGAAAUAAAGAAUGUGAGUUUAGGAGAUGAUUUAGGCAUUUCUUUGAUAGCCUUGUUUUGUACCGUCUUUCUGACCUACCCAUGGUGCACAAUCCUAGUAAGCCCCAUUGAGCCUUUAGUUUUUUCUUUGGCAGCCUCAUAAGUAACCUAAUUCCUUCUUUGAUAGACCUUAAUUUUCUCUAAAAGCUCUUAAGUGCUUUAGUAUAAAUUAAUUGAGUAAAGAGUGUGAAAUUGAAGAAGAAAAGGUGAAAUUGAAGCCCCAAAGGAAUAGUUAUUGGUCUUUAAAAUUGAUAUGAUAUGGUUGGGAGUGAAAAAUAAAAUUUGUUCUAUACUUUGAAUCAUGAAUAAAUAGAAAAAUCCUCCCACCAUAGUGUAUGUAAAUAAGCUUAAUUAGAUGGAGUAAAAAAAGAAAGGGGUAGACAAAAUUGGUGUAAUUUGGUUGUUGGAGAUUGGUUUUAAUUGUAAAAAGUGAUGUAUUAAAGUGCUUAGGGAAGAUAGUCACUAUUAAGCCAAACUAGUUCCUACCCGUCCCUUAGCCUACAUUACAACCCAGAUGAGACCUAAUUGAUCCUAAAUUCAUCAUUCUAAUAUUAGUGGAGCACUACACUAAGGGAAAGCCUAUGGUUCAUUAUGUGUAACUUAUGAAUUCAUUGUGAGAGUGAGCGUAAAUUGAUUCUUGUACCCAUUGAUUUAUAAUUUGUAUUUAUAUAAGUGAUUAUGCGUAACUCUCUUGUUGUGAGGGCACAUGUUUGAUGAAUGUGAGUGAUUUGUAAUAAUGUCUUGUAUUGAGCAAUUAGCACGAGUUUUCCAACUUGGUGAGCCAAUUCUUGAGACUGAGAUGUUUUGAAGUAGGAUUCUUGAGCUUUUAAUUGUGUAUGUAACAUGCUAAGUAAAGAAACUUGCAUUUUGUGUAAUCAUUGUAGUACUAGCUUAAAUGUCUUACCUGUAGUGGAAGUGUGGAGUCUAUUCAGUUCAUAAUAUUUAUAAUAAAGAAUUGUUCGAGGACGAACAAGGCUUUAAGUAUGGGGUGGUGAUGUUGGGUGUAUUUAUGCAUUCUAGCGUUACUAUUCUAGCCUAUUUAGCCUUAUUUUGAGGAUGAUUCAUGUUCUUAAUGUGUUGAUAAUGAGAUAAAUAUGCAUCUAAGUGUCCAUUUAUGUGUUUACAAUGUUUAAUGGUGUUUUCACAUGAGUUUUGAUUCAAAUUGAUCAUUUGGAAUUCAACCGAGAAAACUAGUGUGACUAGCUUGAGCUAGGUGUUUGUCUAGUCUAUCAUGUUGGGUUCUAAUGUGUUUAAUGAGUUCUUAAUAUUGUUAUUGUGUAUUUAUAUGUGAAAUAACUUGGUUAUAAUUUUCAAGGGUCAAUUGGAUCAAUAUAAGAGUCAAAACAAUAAGCUUAAGAUCAAUAUGGGCAAGCCUAGUCUUAGCUCGUGUUUCUAGUUCACCGUCUUGGAUGUUGUGUUGUUUUGAGCUCUAAAUUGUUGUGUCUAAUGCUAUAGGAUGCUUGGUGAAUGAAUUAUGAUGAUAUAUAAAGGAUAUACAAGCUUCAAAUCAAGUGGAAACAACUCAAAAAGGCUCAGAAUGGAUCAACGAAGCAUAAUACACAAACUUGACGCCAUUUGGAUACCUGGAAUGUCCAAGGCACGUGAGGACUUUGGGAAUGUCCUAUUGACCCGUGCAACACAGCAAAUUUCAGAAAGGGCCCAAAACAGUGACCCACCACCGCUAUAUGGUCCUAAUAGCGAUGAAGGAGGCAUCGCAUCGCAGUAAUAAGCCAAUCGGCAAUUGUCAACUUUCAGAAUCUCACCGCAAUUACACUAUUUCGUAGACAAAUAGAGAUGAGCAUUAAAAGUGGGAAAUUAUGCCCAGCUAGAAAAUAACAACAUGGAAACCUAAUCCCAUUCGGUUUAUGACUUGUCUACUAUAAAUAUAAUGUCUUAAAUUCCGUUUUGGACAUCUUGGAAGACCCUAGAUCAACUUGGAAAUCAUUGGAGGCUACCACAACUUCUUUUUAGGUUUUUAUUAUUUAAUUUAUCUUUCUUUUAUGGUUUUAAUCGUUCAUACAAUUAGUUGGAUGUUGAUUAUAUCUAUGAGUGGCUAAAAACUCCCUUUCCGAGGUUAAAGCCAAGAGCAUGAGUACUAUUAUUUUGAAUUAAUUUUGUUUAAUUUUUUUAUUAUUAUUGGUUAUUUGUUUAUUCUUGAUUUAACUAUUUGAUGGAUUAAUCACCCGAAAAAUACAUUUAUUGUCAUCCUUGUAUUCUCAGGAUAAGGAAUAAGGAGAUAGAACAUGGGAAUGAACAAAGUAUGGUUUGUAUUAUUUUAUGAAAUAAGGAAUUCAAAUUAGCGUCUAGGACAGGGAUGUACUUAGAUGUCUUACUUGAUUCAAACGUAGGAUGAUAUCUUUAAAGAACUUAAUUGGAUUAUUACAUCCCUGCUCAAUAAUGUAGUUGUAAUGUCUAAAUUAGGUAAAUAGUUAGAGGUUGGGAGACCAUGAUUAUUGCAUUUAACCCUACGAAUCUACAACCAAGAUAAGCAAUUUAAUGAAUGAAGUUUAAUAACGUGGUAUGACUACUUGAAGUACUUUAACACUGGGCUUUACUCCAUUGAUUAUUUCAAAACCUUUAUUUUAUGCAUUUUUUCCUUUACUUUGUUUUACAAAUAUUCAAAACCCUAUUUUGGCUAUGCUUGCAUCAAUUUAAUCUAAAUUAUAAACUACAAUCAAAUAGUUAUGAGAUCAAGUCCCUGUGGGAUCAAUACUUGGCUUUCUUUAAGGUCACUUUACUACUUGAUAGACCAUGUACACUUGUGUGUUCGCUUGGGCACUAUCAAUUUCCCAUUCGAAUUUUAUUACUCUUUUGGUUAGAGGUUUUGUGGUACUACUAUGGGCUGGAAUAGGCGGUAUUGGUAUUUGUGUAGUCCUUGGCAUUAAAAUAAGAUGGUGGGUUGACAUCUUUGGACAUAAUUUCUCAUUGUUCUAUCGUGUUUUAUUUUGAGAUUAAUUAUAUUAUGUUUUGGAACUUAUUUUGUUAUGGCCUGGUUUAUAGCCUUUGGAAUAAUUUGGUACGGUUGGACGGUUAGGCGGUUAGGCAGUUGGUGUAGGAUAGUUGGACUCAGUUGGGUUAGUCAAGGUUGUGAACCUAUCCCAGAGUCUUCAUGUGAGCUAUUACACUCUCUUUUUAUUUGCUCAAAAUUCAACCAAAUCAGGAUAGGCGGUUGGAAUUUGGGUUGGGUAACGGGGGUGGUCUCUAUCCCGAUAGAACCUGGGAUGCCUAUUAAGACAAGGCCCCCGGUCGGGUCAUGUCAAGUUAAUAUCAAAGCCUAGGUUCAUGUUCAAUCAGGAGUUCACAAAGCCGUGUCGAGUAGAGUAUCUUUUAGGGGUGUGUAGCAUGUCACACUCAUAAGAAAGAGACUACAAGGCAUUUAGGAAUGUCUCACUUUCUUGGUAUUCAAUUUUUAAGAUUGGAGUAUCAGUCCUGGAAUCUUCUUUAAUCCUUAUUUGUUCGUCUUUCAGAUCAUGCCUCUUAGAUCUGAAACACAAGAAAAUUCUUUUAUUCCAUUUGGGGUAAUGCUGAAGGGGUGUAUCCUACUUUGGGGUUCAUCUUCGAUCUGGCAGUCCUAUCCCUGAUAGUUUUGGAGUUCCACUGGGGUCUACUGUCCUCCUCAAGGCGAGGUGACUAAUGCAAAAUUUUUUCAGCCUAUUUAUGUUAUUUCUCGGAUGGUCAUUGCUCAGGUUUAGUGAGGUGCGACUGGUUCUUUGUCUGCUGAGGCCACAAGGGUUAGCCAAUUUAUAAAGAUGGGUCCUCCUAUUUUUUUGGAUUGAAGAUGGAAGAAGGUCCAUGAGGAUUUUUUGAUAAAAUAGAAAAGAUAUUUCGGGUGAUGCAGGCUACCAAUGUGAAGGGAUAUGCUUUGCAGCUUAUCAGCUCAAAGAUGUUGCAUAUCAAUGGUAUAAAGAGUAGGAUAGGGAUAGGGGUGAUAUGGAAGAAUCAUUCUUGUGGGAUAUUUUUUCUAAGGACUUCUUAGAUUAUUUUUUUCCCCAAGAGUUAAGGGAAGCAAAGAUGGAAGAGUUUGUGAACCUCAAGUAGGGAAGGAUGUCUGUCAAGGAAUAUGCCUUAAAGUUUCACCAAUUGUUAAGGUAUGAUCCCAAUUUAGUAGCUGACAUACAGGCAAGAAUGAGGAAGUUCUCCUCUGGGUUAAUCAAGUUUUCAUUUUGGAGAGCAAGAAUAUAUUGAUGAUUAAAGAUAUAGCAUCUCUCGAUUGACUAUUCAUAUAAAGUAAGUGAAGAAUGAAAAGAGAAAGCAGAUGGAGCUUGGAGAUAGACAGAGUAAGAGGAGUAGGUUUUUUUACCAGGGAGGUGCUCAGUCUCAGGGUGGUCAGGAUGGUGGCAAAUGGCAGAAAAAGAAGUGGGGGAAUUCUAGUUCCUUCUCUUCUUUUAGUGAUCCUUAUCAGACGGGCGACAAGCAUUAUUCAGGUGGUGAUAAUUUUUAGGUAUAGGGUACCCAAUAUCAAGCAAUAGAGGUCAGUUAGUAUUUUUAUGCCAUCCUUGUCGGUUCUGUAGUCGUCCUCAUUGAGGUUAUUGUGAUAAAAUAAGGGGAAAUUCUUUAAGUGUGGCCAGGCAGUCCAACGGCUCAGGGAUUUUCAAAUUAAUAAGGUUGUUAUGGGGUCGACUAAGAUUCAUAUGGCUUCAUCUUCUGCUCCUACACCUGGUGGUGUUGUAUUUACUUUUGUUACUACUCUUGUUCUAGUAUUGGUCAGAAUAAGUUGUGUUCUUUGGCGUCCUGAUAGGAAUCCGAGGCGUCACUUGAUGUCAUUACUGGUACAUUACAAUUUUUUUCUUAUGACGUGUAUUUCUUACUUGAUCUGGGGUCCACUCUCUCCUAUGUGAAUCCUUAUAUGGUUGUAUCUUUUGGUUUUGAUCCGAAAGUUAUUUCGAAUCCUUUUUCUAUUUCUACCUCAGUAGGUGACUCAGUUAUUGCUAUGAGAGUCUAUAGGGUGUGUGUGGUAUCUGUGGGUGGAAAGCAAACCUUAGUGUAUUUCAAUGUUAUUCUAGGUAUGGAUUGGUUGCACUUCUAUUACGUGUCCUUGGAUUGUCAGACCUAUUGGGUUAUCUCUAGGUUCCCUGGUGAGCCAAUUAUAGAAUGGAAGGGUGGUUCUUUAGCUCCUAGGGGGAGAUUUAUUUCAUAUCUUAGAGCACGGAGGAUAAUCUCCAAAGGUUGUCUUUAUUACAUGGUCUGGGUUAAAAAUUCUAACUCGCAAGGUCCUUCUUUCCCGUCAGUUCUAGUGGUUAAUAAGUUUCCAGAGGUUUUUUUGGAUAAUCUUCCUGGGGUUCCUCUAGAUAGGGAAAUCAAGUUUGGUAUUGAUCUAGUUCUGAACACUCAUCCAAUUCAUAUUUCUUUGUAUAGAAUGGCUCCGACUGACUUGAGAAAACUCAAGAAGCAACUUAAGGAUCUUCUGGAUAAGGGGUUUAUUCGUCCUAGUGUAACUCGGUGGGGUGCACCGGUGUUGUUUGUCAGCAAGAAGGAUGGUUCCCUUCGGAUGUGCAUUGACUAUAGGCAAUUAAACAAGGUGACAAUCAAGAACAAAUAUCCUCUUCUAAGGAUGGAUGAUCUAUUUAACCAGUUGCAAGUUGCCAUGUUCUUUUCUAAGAUAGAUCUUCGGUCUGGGUACCAUAAGCUAAAGAUUAAGGUGGUGGAUAUUCGUAAGAUAGCUUUUCGUACUUUAUGCGCACUUUGAGUUUUUGGUAAUGUCAUUUGGGUUGACUAAUGCUCCGACGGUAUUUAUGGAUCUAAUGAACAGGGUUUUUCAUUAGUAUUUGGAUCUGUUUAUUAUUGUGUUUAUUGAUGACAUUCUGGUUUAUUCAAAGAGUGAGGUAGAUCAUGCUAAUCACCUCCAUGUGGUGUUGCACACCUUAAAAGAACAAAAGUGGUAUGCCAAGUCCUCUAAAUAUGAGUUUUGGUUGAAUGUUAUAACUUUCUGGGGUCACAUUAUUUUUAGUGAGGGGAUUAUAGUGGAUCCGCAAAAGUUUGUUGUGUUGAAGAAGUGGCCUAGACCCAUAACUCUCUGAUAUUCGAAUUUUUUUGGGUUUAGCUGGGUAUUAUAGGAAGUUUGUGGAAAGCUUUUCAUUUAUGGCUGCUCCUUUGACUAAGUUGACUCAGAAGAAGUUUAAGCUUUCUUGGUCGGAUGCUUAUAAAGGGAGUUUUGAGAAGUUGAAGGAUAAGCUAACUUUGGCUCCAAUUCUGACCUUAUCAGAAGGCAAUGAUGGGUUUGUGGUUUAUUAUUAUGCAUUCGGGUAGGGCUUAGUUGUGUAUUGAUGCAACAUGAGAAGGUGAUUGCCUAUGCUUUUGGGCAGUUGAAAGUACAUAAAAGGAAUUAUCCUACUCAUAAUUUGAAGUUGUUGGCGGUUGUGUGUGCUUUGAAAAUAUGGUGGCAUUAUUUGUAUGGUGUUCACAUAGAUAUCUUUUCUGAUCAUAAGAGUCUACAAUAUGUGUUCACUCAGAAGGAGCUUAAUCUCAGGCAGAGGAGAUGGCUUGAGCUUCUCAAGGACUACGAUAUGAGUCUUCACUACCACCCAGGUAAAGUUAACGUGGUUGUUGAUGCACUUAGCAGGUUAUCCAUGGGGAGUUUGGCUCAUGUGGAGAAAGAAAAUCGAGAAUUAGUGAAGGAUAUUCACUGUUUGGCCUACCUUUGAGUUUGCCUCUUGGACUUCAAAAAUGGUGGUGUGAUGGUCCAAGAAGUGGUUCGAUCGUCUCUUGGUGCGGAGAUUAAAGAGAAGCAAGUGCUAAACCCUGUCUUGAUGAAAAUCAAGAGUGACGUUGGUAGGAAAAAGGUAGUGGCGUUUGAGAUCAGUGGUGAUAGUACUUUACGGUACCAAGGGAGGUUGUGUGUUCCUGAUGUCAAUAGAUUACACAAAGAAUUUUGGCUGAGGCAUAUGAAUCACGCUAUGUUGUUCAUCCCGGCUCGACAAAGAUGUAUCAUGAUCUCCUAUUGGUUGGUUAGAGCUUGGGAAGAUGGAUAUGUUUGGUCCCGACUUAGUUUACUAGGCUAUUGCGAAGGUGAAGGUGAUCCAAGAUAGGCUUAAGGCGGCCCCACGUUACGAAAGUCCUAUCUAGAUGUUAGGCGUGGAGACUUGGAGUUUGUGGUUAGGGAUAAGGCUUUCCUCAAGGUAUCUCCCAUGAAGAAAGUAAUGUGAUUUGGCAAGAAGGGGAAGCUCAGUCUUCGGUAUAUUGGUCCUUAUGAGGUUUUGCGGAGAGUAGGUAAUAUUACUUAUGAGCUGGAGUUCCCUUCUAUCUUGAGCUUGGUUCAUCCGGUCUUUCAUGUUUCUAUAUUGAGGAAGUGCAUUGGUGAUCCUUCUUCAGUAGUUCCUUUAGAAGGAUUGGGUAUCACGAACUUUCUUUCUUAUGAGGAAAUCACGAUUGAGAACUUGGAUAGGCAGGUUCGUCAGUUGCGAACCAAGGAUGUUGCCUCGAUUAAGAUUCUAUGGCAGAACCACAAGGUGGAAGAGGCUACUUGGGAAGUAGAGGAGGACAUAAAUUCCAAAUAUCCACUUUUAUUUUCUGCUCCUGGGAUUCGUGUGGAAGGUAUGCGUCUUGAACACAUCUUUAUUUUGUGAGUUUGUUAAAGGAAAGAUUAAUAUCUUUGCCUCUUUAUUUUCAAACUUUGUUAAAGAUUAGGAAUAUAUUUGAUAAUACAAAUAACUCGUGUGUGUGGUUACCCCUACCUUGUCCGUCAUUCGGGGAUGAAUGUUCCUAGUUGGGGAGACUAUAACACCCUGGGUUUUGACCAUUAGAAAUUUCUUGGAAUUCUGAUCUCUAGACCCAACACGACUCAUGGGUACGAUCUAUAUAUUGGGGUACGAAUGGUAUGGUCCUGUUGUAUGCUGACCAGUGUUGGUAGGUGAGAUGGGUUCGGUUACUGGAAUGGAUACGACUUAGGGGUACAAGUUGUAUUUUAGGUACGGAUCAUUUGGUUCCUUAAUAUUAGACUUGGUUACUUAGGUUGGAUCCGAGUACGAGUGGCUCACAGUGAGCUGUAAGCCAGGGUAUGAGUCAUACCAUGGACUUGUAUGGUGGACAGUGUCUAAAUCUUUCUUGGGUUUAAUAUUCCAGGGGUAUGGAUGAAGGGUAUGGAUCGCAUGCUUCGGAUAUGACUUGGUUGGAUGAGUCAUGUGCUGGACAGUGUUAGAUCCAAAGGUUGAAGCUAAGAUACGAGUGGAGGGUACCAAUCAUAUUGGAGGGUACGACUCGUGAGGGUCAGUCGUACCCCUGGGAUGGGAUUUUGUACAACUUAAGUUGGGGUAUUUUGGAUAUUUUACCACUUAUCCUAAUAAGGUCCCGCGACUUCUAACCUACUUGGGAGGUUAUUUAUCCUAUUAUUCCAUUCAUUAACACUUAGAAACUCUUCUAAAACACUUUAUAAUUCUCUCAAAAUCUUUUAGGUAAGGGAAGCUAGGGUUUUAACUAGAGGAUUAAUUUGGGGCUUGUCGUGGUGAUCUCUUUCCAUCAUCAUCUUGGUUUAAGGCAUGUUUUCUUUCCACGUUAUUAAUUCUAUCUAGAAGCAUGGUUUUUAUGAAUGUUUUCAUGACUUCAUUGAUUGUAUGAUUUUUGUUUUCAACUAUGAUUUGGGGGUUUUAUAUUAAAUGGUUGGUUAUGGUUUCCCGUGGUUUUAAUUAUGCUUUAUGUGCAUUAAUGGUAGUUUUGGAUAAUUGAAUUGAAUAGGAAUGAUUUAAGGGUAAUUGGAAUUAGUUUUGGUUAUAUUAUGCCCCCAAUGUGUUUGACAAAAUGUCUAUAAUAAUGUUUUCAUUUCAUUGAUUAGUUUUAAUGGAACUCUUGCUUGUUUUAAAACUUGGUAAAGUAAUUAUGCAUGGUUUAAAUGUCUUGGAAAGGUAAAUGGCUAAAUGUUUUUGCUUGUGGGGUACAUGGAAUCCCCCAAGUGGUUUUAUAUGGUAAAUGGAAGGGCAUUUGGAAGUCCCUUAAACCUAUAUAUGGUUAGCUAUGGAUAGUGCUUGCAAGUAUGGUCGAUAUGAUGAUCCACCACUAAAUAGCCUUGGUUAAUAAAUGAUAAAUGGAUUAAUUGGUUUCUUAGAGAUGGUUUUAGUUAGGGAAAUAAUGGCAGGAUGUGUAGAAAAGCCGUGGAAGGUGGAGGACCUAGGGAGACCAAAACUGGAAACUCAUAUUUGCCGAUGUGAGGUUUGAUCUUGGUGACCGUGUACAUGAUGUCACACUAUAUUUUGGGGGAUGUACUAGUCAUCUCAAGUUUUCUUCCCUGGUCAUGCGACUACACGCAUUGGGGCCCUUUUAGCAGGGGGAGCUGAACCCAUAUAGCCCGUGGGUGGAUUUGGACGGCAAAGCUACACAGCCGACGUGAAGUUUUUAAUGGCAUACUAAAACCGGUCCCAUUUCCCAGCAUGGUUAUAUAUAUAUAAGUAUUAUUUUAUGCAUAUGGAUGCUUUUACGUGGUUUUAUAAAUGGCAUUAUUUUAUUCUUACCUGAGAUCAUGCUAGCGUUCACCCGCUAACCCGUCUACUGGCGGCUGUAUACCCACGCUAUGCAGGAACCAGUCGUUCUACUCCUCCUACAUAGUGAUUGACUCAGGGAUCAGAAUUUGGAUUGAAGUAGUCAGCUUCCAUCCUUUCGAAAGGCUACAUUUCAUGUUAUGGAUAUUUCUAGACACUUUGAUUUUAUUUUGAAUAUUAGUUUUGGCCAUGGUUGAGGGUAUGUCCCAACCGGAUUGUAUUACUCUUUUAGUUAGAGGCUUUGUGGUACUGCUAUGGGCUGGAAUGGGCGGGAUCGGUAUUAGUGUCAGCCUUGGCAUUAGAAUAAGCUGGUGAGCUGACAUCAUUGGACAUAAUUUCUCAUUGUUCCAUCGUAUAUUAUUUUGGGAUUAAUUAUACUAUGUUUUGAAAAAAAUUUUGUUAUGGUCUGGUUUAUGGCCUUUGGAAUGGAGUGGUACGGUUGGGUGGUUGGUGUGGGAUAGUUGGACUCGAUUGGGUCAGUCACGGUUGUGAUCCUAUUCCAGAGUCUUCAUGUGAGUUGUUACACUAUCUUAUUAUAUGCUCGAAAUUUAGCCAACUUAGGAAAGGCGGCUGGAGGUUGGGUUGGGUAAUUGGGGUAGUCUUCGGUCCUGGUUGAACCAAGGACUCCCAUUACGACAAGGCCCCUAGUUGGGUCGUGUCAAUCAUCAAAGCCUUACCAAACCAUUUAAAACCAACCAAACUAAUUUAAGUUCCAUUACCAUAUUAUGCAAUGCAAAGAUUUUAAUAAUAGUCAAAUUAUGUGAUAAAAGCAUUCUCAUUGUCAUUUUAACAAACAUGUUGAGGGCAUAUAGUUUCCAAAACCAAAAACAAGUAUCAAUUGACCAUUCCCAUGAAAUGACAUAUUCAAAUCAUAAUUAUAACAUGAAAAACCAUAAUUAAAACAUAGGAAAAUGUUAUCUAACCAUAAAACAACCAAAACCCCCAACAUCUAUUUCAAAACCCAAAAUAGUACCACAAUAGUACCAUGAAAAUCAUUCACUAAAAUAUGUUUUUAGUUGAACUAACAAAGCGGGAGGAGUAACAUGCCUUAUAAAACAAAGAAGACGGAGAAAAAUCACCCCUUUGAGCCUUAAUGGAUUGCCUUGAAGAAAACCCUAGUCUUCCUUGCACCAAGAGCUUGAGAGAGGUUUGAGAGUGUUUAGAGAGUGUUUGAUUAUUAAUAAUAGGUUAAGGCCCUAUUUGUUUACACUUAUUGGAGAUUUGAAUCUGAAUGGUUCAGACUUCAGCCCGUUAAGUGCAUUUGUUUUUUUUAAAGAGCCUCUUAAUGUAUUUGAAAACAUCUGAAUGGAUCAAAUAUGAAAAGAAGUCUGAAUAGCAUUCAGACUCUUUUUAAAACAUAAUCCCUAACUCUCUCACUUCAUUAUUUCCUCUCUCUUUUCAUGUUAUCUCUCUUCUUCUCUUUUUACAUUAUCCCUCCCUCUGUUCACGUUUCUAUCUCUCUCUUUCUUUUUCUUCACUUGCUUUCCUUCUCUUUUAGGUAUCAUUCACCAAAUUUUUUUAUAAAUAUUUUAGUUAUUAAUUUGUGUAUUCAUUAUUUGCUAAACUCUAAAUUUCUGCUUGCAUUUUUUGUUUUGAUUAUAAAAUUUGUACUUCCUCCAUUUUAAAAAGAAUGACCUACUUUGACUUGGCACAAAGUUUAAGAAAAUAAGGAAAACUUUUGAAUCUAGUGGCCUUGAAUUAAAGUUGUGUCAAAUGUACCAAAAUACUCUUUAAUCUUGUGGUCCUAAACAUGCCACGUGGAAAGGUAAAAUUAAAGUAUUGCCAAAAAGGGAAAUGGGUCAUUCUUUUUUAAACGGACUAAAAAGGAAAGCAGAUCAUUCUUUUUUAAACGGAGGGAGUAAUUCUUUGGAUAAUAGAAUCUUAUGUGUGCCUGUUCAUAACGUAACAUUGAACUUACUAAUGAUAUUUUCACCCAGCUUUCAUGGUUAACAAAUAAACAUGUGUCCGUUUUGUAUUAACUAGUUUUUCAAAUACUUUAAUAUUUAUACAUCUAAGUCAAAAUUAUAUCUGAUUAAUUAUUUUAGUUUGUUGGAUCAGUUUAAUUGAUAGAUUACUUUAUGUUGAAUUUAAUUUUUUAUAAUUACAUCAUAUCACAAUAAUUUUUUAUCAUUAUAUCCCUUUUUAAUAAUUUAAAUAAUUCAAUAAUUAUAUUUAACAUAAUAUAUUUAUCUUUAAAUAUUUUAAUUAUCACUCAAAUAGUAAUUUUGUUGUUUAAGUUAAUACUUUAUGUAAUAUUUUUUUCACAUAAUAUAAUAUUUUAUUACUUUUUAAAUUUGAAUUGCAUAUUUAUUACAAAUAAAUAAAUUACAUAUAUUUAGAUGUUAAAAAACAAACAGUCUUAAUCAUUCAGUAUUUAGAUCUAGAUACAACAUCUUAAUUAUUCAGAUAUCCAUUCAGAUUCAGACGUCUUAAUCUUGAAAAAAAACAAAUGCACCCUAAGAAAGCCUCCAAAGGUGUUUUAUGUUGCGGGGUCCAAAGGAGUUAUUAGGGAGAAAUAUCCAAAAUACCCCCAACUUAAACUCCUCAACUCGUAUCUACAUCAUACAAGAGGUACCCUCUACUCGUAUCUUGAUCAGAAAGUUGGAAACCACAUUUUGUCUAACAUACAACUCCUUAGCCUAACUCAUACCAUCACCAUACGACAAGUACCCUUCAACUCGUACCCUAAGCAGAACAUCAGGUCUAGACACUGUACAAUAUACGGUUGGACACUAUACUCCUCGUAUCUUCAACACACGACUCGUAUCGAGUCUUCUCGUACCUUGGACAGAACUUUGCCAAUAUCACACUGACCAACAUACGACUAGGGUUCCUAGACCUAUACCCACACCAUACGAAAAGUAUGGUAAGUCAUAUGAUCAACAGAAGGCUCAAAACCCAAGAAAUUUCCAAGGGUUAAAACCCAGGGUGUUUCAAUUUAGGCGUGUACAUGUUUGUUUUCAGGAGAUUUAGAUUGUUUGUUAAUUUGUAAUACUGAAAUUCUCAAUUUUACAAUGUUAUUUAGAUUUAUGUAUUUCCCUUUUGAAAUAUCCCAUAUUGCACCAAAUACCCUCACCAUCGACUUUUAUUGCUUGUGAGACUCCUAUGUUUGUACAAAUUCAUAAGUUAAUUUUUGUAUCUAGAGUCAGUGAGUUCAGAAUGAAUGUAGCCUUAUUAUAUUUAUAUAUAUAUUUUGAAUUUUCUUGUUGCAUAUAUAUACAUAUUCUGCAACAAAAGCAUUAGGUUCAGUUGAACCCAUAGAACCCGCCUUAGAUUUGCGUUUGCUUGUAUGGAAGAUGUGAAAACAGGGGAAGAUACAUUGUAUUAUUAUGGAGUAGGUGUAGAACCUUGAAUCAAAUAUCAGUAAGAGUUAUUAAUUUAUAAUUAUAAAUAGAAGUUAUUUUUUAACAACUAUAUGUCUCGGUCCUAUAUAAGUUGGGUUUGGCUAUAUGAAUGCUCACCGACUUCAAUAUUCCAUCCAAACUUUUGAAAGAUUUGAGGUAGAAGAAAAUUUACCUCUCAAACAUCAAUAGUCGUGAUUAAGACUAGCAACGGAACCGAAAAAUUCCGUUCCGGUCCAUCAACUCCAUUUCUGGUUUGGUUCCGGUACCGGUAACACAACGGUACCGGUAGCCAAUGGUUUGAAAUACGUUACCGAUGCGAACCUUCAAAAAAUUCUAAUAUUUCCGGUUCUGGUUGACCGGUUUCGGUCUGUCAAAUGCGUUAAAUUUUCCCUUCAUUUUUUAAUUGGGUUGGUAUUUGUAAGACUGCCAACGGCUCUUUAGGCCGUUGCAAACACCCCUCUCCCUUCCCAAUUAACCCACACCACCCCUUAAAAUUUUCACUAUAAAUAUCCUUCAUUUCAAUUCUUUUUUUCACACAAAUAUUCUCAAUUCUCAUACUCUCUCUUAAUAUUCUCACAUUCUCUCUAAAUAUUUAUAAUUAUUAUAUUAAUUGGAGUUGAAGAUUUUUUUGAAGAUAUUACAAGCUUCUAUUUUCAUCUUUUAAUUCCGAUAUUUCGUAUACAUCUGCUUUUACGCAGACGUUCUAUAUAUUCAUUCCAACUUUAAUCUCUUUUUAUUUACGUUAAUAUCUAUAUUUUUAUUUUUUAGUAUCUACAUUUGUUUACUUACAUUAUUUUUUUAAUUUAUAAUAUUUGUAUUGUUUGCUUUAAUAUUUUAAUUUUAGUUAUGGAUUCCGGAAAAAUAAGUAGUGGUAAAAAUUCAAUCUUUGAUAAGAUUUUUCGUAGAAAUAAAAAAAGUAAGGCUACUACAAGUUCAUUCCGCCUAGAUUUAAUGAAACUUCUUUAUCACAGUCUAAUGAUUUCGACGUUGGUAUCGAUAUGGAAUUAGAUCAUGAGACCCUAAGUAGGCGUUAUGAUAAUUUUGAGGAAGACUUACCGGAAGAAGAUGAUAUAGAAGAACAAGAGUUAGGUGAUACCCCUACCCCUACUAGUUUGGUUACGAAAUUACCGGAACACGGUGAAGAACUUUUCCCUUUACCAAAAUUUACUAGGGUCAAAGGUACCGAACGUACUAAAAGGUCUUUAGUUUGGAAAUUUAUGGAGCAUGAUAGGGUAAAAAGUAUUGCUACUUGCAAUAAAUGCAAGAAACAUUUGACCGGGGGAAAAAUGACGGGACAGGGUUGCUAACUGCGCAUUUGAUGAAAUGUAAUAAAGAAUUUAUUCGUCUAAAAAAUGAGACUAAGACAAAAAAAGAUGGUACACCAUUUGUGCAUGAAUCUGUAGGAGGAAAUAUGGUUCAAACACGUUUAGACAUGUUUAACCCGGCUGGCCCAAGUUCAUCAUCGACAUAUAGUGAAGAUGUAGAUAGAGAAGAACUAGCGAAAAUGGUCGUUGUUAUGGGUUUGUCUUUUAGUUUUCCUUCACAUCCCAGUUUUAUUCAUUAUAUUCAACGAGUAUAUAAUUCCUCUUUUAAAGGUUUUUCACAAAAUACAAUUAAAAAUAAUAUUUUUAAAUUUCAAGCUGAACACUGCCAUUUCUUCGUUGCUUAUUUGAUAAAUUUGAUGGUAGAAUAUCUGUUACUUCUGAUAUGGGUUGUAGUGUUGUCGGUAAUGAUUAUUUUACUCUCACAGCUCAUUGAAUUAAUCACGAUUGGAACAUGCAAAAAAAAAUUAUUGCUUAUAAAUAUAUUGACGAGUCUAAAACCGGUAUGUAUAUAGCUAGUACAAUAACGGAGAGCAUGAAAUAUUUUAGAUUUAUUGGUAAACCUAUGGCAUGCACAUUAGAUCAUGCUUCUAAUAAUUUGAAAGCUAUUGACGAGUUAAAAAGUAGAUUAUGUUCUAUGGAUGAAGAUCAUUUUCAUGUUAGAUGUACUGCACAUAUUUUAAAUUUAAUAGUACAUGAUGGUGUUUAUUUGUUUGAAAAUAAUUGUUGUAAAGUUCGAAUUGCUUGUAGUUAUAUAUUUUUUUUUUUUUAAAAAAGGAUGUAAUGGUGAUUAUAAAUCUAAAUGUAAACAAUGUGACCUUCUAUAUAGAAAAGUUCCAAAAGAAAUUCCUACUAGAUAGAAUUCUUUGUUUCAAAUACUUGAAGUUGCUUUUAUAUAUCGUAAACCUAUACAAUUAGUUUAUAAUGCUUAUAAUGAGGAUGUUAAUUUAAUGCUAGAUGAAGAUGAUUGGACUGAUGUAGAAGAACUUUGUAAAUUUUUGAAAACUUUUCAUCAAGCUACGAACACAGUAUCUUCUCAAUAUACUCUAACUAUUUCUUCUGUUUUAGUAACUAUUACUGCUAUUUCUAAAGUAUUUGCUGAAUAUAAAAAAUUAUGCCCUUACAAAGAGGAAAUUGAAGUUAUGUUUGAUAAAUUUAAAAAAAUAUUAUUUUCCUAUUCCACAAUUUUUUUUGACAACUAAUUUAUUCAACCCAUUUUAUAAAGAAUAUGGUACAGUGAUGUUGGUUAAAAAAUUAUACAACAAUUUAGAAAUUGCACCUCAUGAAAAGUCAUCAGUUGACACUUGUUGUGCUAACAUAGUACCUAAAGCUAGGAGUUUAUAUAACUUGUAUUAAGUUAUAGAAUAAAAUAUUGGGUCGAUCGAACCUCUUCCUUUUAGACGUAGAUAUGAUGAUUUAGAUGACGAGAUGGGUGAAGAACUUGGUCUUCAAUGUUGUAGGAGUAAUGAUUUUGAUUCGUAUCUUUCGCAGGAUCGAAAAAGUAUUAGAGAUGAAACUGGAAAACAACAACUUUUAUCAUGGUGGAAGACCCGUAUCAGACAAUUUCCAAAACUUUCAAGGAUGGUCCGAGAUUUGCUAUCAACUCAAACUUCUUUAGUUGCUUCGGAACAAGCUUUUAGCACAGGAAAAUUUAUAAUAAGAGAUCAUCGAUAUUCGUUAGCAAGGGAUAGUUUGAAGAUUUCGAUAUUAUUUAGAUAUUGGAUCAAUGUCGAACGAAGAAAUUUUGGGCUCUCCAAAUUACCGGCCCAUGUUGAAGACGAAAUAGAUGAAAUUUUUGAGGUAAAUAGUGAUGAUGGAAUGGAAGCAAUGAAGGAACAAGAAAAAAGACCAAUUCCGGAAGAUUUAUCCGCCGAAGAAAUAGAAAAGUUACGCCAAAAAUAUUAUAGACAAUUAGAUAUUAAUAAGAGUCUACAAUAAAGAUCUAAUUCAAAAAGAACACUUCCUAGAAGGUGACUGCGUAGAUUAGAUUUUCUUUUAAUAUCUUUGUAAUAAAUGUACAACGUAUGAAAUUUGAAUAAAUAUAACGGCUAUUCGCCUAAUUUUAUUUUAAAAUUUGUCUUUUGUUUGUUGCAAUUAUGGGGAAAAAAGUUUAAUACAAAACUUUAUAAAGUUAGGAAAAUUUUUAACUUUACGACUUAAAAUUAUAUAAAUAUAAUUUAACUUCUUAAACUUAUUAAAAAUAUUAUAUUAUCUUAAACUUAAGGAUAUAUUUUAAAAUUUAAGAUAUAUUAAAACAUGUUAUAUUUAUUAACUUAAAUUUAAAAUAUAUUUUUAAACUUUUUAAGUUAUAUUAAAACUUAAACUUAUUAAAAAAAAGUUAAUAAAUUAUAGAAAUUAUAUAAGUUAUAUAUAUAAGUUAAUAUAUAUCUUAAAAUUUUAAAAUUUUUAAGAUAUAUGCAAACUUAAACUUAUUAAAAAAAAGUUUAUAAAUUAUAUAAGUUAAUAUAUAUAUAUAUAUAAUUUAAAUUAAAAUUAAAAAAUAAACAGUACCUAGUACGCCGGCGUGUCUUCCGGUGAUGUUCCGGUCAACAAGGGGAAAAUUCCGGUAUUCUGGUUCCGGUAACACCGGUUCCGGCGACAAAAUCAAUAAGGAAGUUCCGGUACCGGUUCCGGUCAGUUGCCA